CCGCCACACAGAGUUGUUUGAGGCACACUCUAUAGGAGAUGCCAAGGUGUAUACCGCCACACAGAGUUGUUUGAGGCACAGGCCACUUAUUAGUCUGAUAAUGGUAUAGGAGAUGCCAAGGUGUAUACCGCCACACAGAGUUGUUUGAGGCACAGGCCACUUAUUAGUCUGAUAAUGGUAUAGGAGAUGCCAAGGUGUAUACCGCCACACAGAGUUGUUUGAGGCACAGGCCACUUAUUAGUCUGAUAAUGGUAUAGGAGAUGCCAAGGUGUAUACCGCCACACAGAGUUGUUUGAGGCACAGGCCACUUAUUAGUCUGAUAAUGGUAUAGGAGAUGCCAAGGUGUAUACCGCCACACAGAGUUGUUUGAGGCACACUCUAUAGGAGAUGCCAAGGUGCAUACCGCCACACAGAGUUGUUUGAGGCACAGGCCACUUAUUAGUCUGAUAAUGGUAUAGGAGAUGCCAAGGUGUAUACCGCCACACAGAGUUGUUUGAGGC
Molecule: long non-coding RNA, 500 nt
Organism: Dreissena polymorpha
Lineage: Eukaryota; Metazoa; Mollusca; Bivalvia; Myida; Dreissenidae
Exons: 3
Source: RefSeq, a predicted model, not a curated record